Molecule: ribosomal RNA, 440 nt
Filed under: uncultured bacterium
Lineage: Bacteria
Description: partial 16S ribosomal RNA
Rfam family: Bacterial small subunit ribosomal RNA
Source: RNAcentral
CCUACGGGCGGCAGCAGUGGGGAAUAUUUCACAAUGGGGGAAACCCUGAUGCAGCGACGCCGCGUGAGGGAAGAAGUAAUUCGUUACGUAAAGCUCUAUCAGCCGGGAAGAAAAUGACGGUACCUGAGUAAGACGCCCCGGCUAACUACGUGCCAGCAGCCGCGGUAAUACGUAGGGGGCAAGCGUUAUCCGGAUUUACUGGGUGUAAAGGGAGCGUAGACGGUUCGCCAAGUCUGGAGGGAAAUGCCUCAGCUUAACUGCGGAACUGCCUUGGAAACUGGCGAACUAGAGUGCGCGAGGGGUAAGCGGAAUGCGUAGUGUAGCGGUGAAAUGCGUAGAUAUCAGGAGGAACACCGGUGGCGAAGGCGGCUUACUGGACCGUAACUGACGUUGAGGCUCGAAAGCGUGGGGAGCAAACAGGAUUAGAUACCCCUGUAGUC